RNAcentral lists this ribosomal RNA (411 nucleotides) under uncultured prokaryote. Its description in RNAcentral is "bacterial SSU rRNA". It matches the Rfam family "Bacterial small subunit ribosomal RNA", at positions 505 to 918 of the family's 1533-position model. The record is from RNAcentral.
GUGCCAGCAGCCGCGGUAAUACGGAGGAUGCGAGCGUUAUCCGGAUUUAUUGGGUUUAAAGGGUGCGUAGGCGGACUUAUAAGUCAGUGGUGAAAACCUGCAGCUUAACUGUAGAACUGCCAUUGAUACUGUUAGUCUUGAGUGUGGUCAAGGUAGGCGGAAUGUGUAAUGUAGCGGUGAAAUGCUUAGAUAUUACACAGAACACCGAUUGCGAAGGCAGCUUGCUGGACCGUUACUGACGCUGAUGCACGAAAGCGUGGGGAGCAAACAGGAUUAGAUACCCUGGUAGUCCACGCCGUAAACGAUGAUCACUCGCUGUUGGCGAUAUACAGUCAGUGGCUAAGCAAAAGCAUUAAGUGAUCCACCUGGGGAGUACGGCCGCAAGGCUGAAACUCAAAUGAAUUGACGGGG